Pantherophis guttatus is the source of this 396-nucleotide long non-coding RNA. RefSeq lists it as uncharacterized. NCBI's taxonomy places the organism in Eukaryota, Metazoa, Chordata, Lepidosauria, Squamata, Colubridae. The record is from RefSeq and is a predicted model, not a curated record.
AUGGAGCUGGGGUGGCUGUGGCCUGCGUGGGCCAUAUCCAGCCCCCAGGCUGCCAGUUUGACAGGCCUGGUUGCUUCUGACAUGAGUGCAAUGCAAGUACAGUAGCGAUUAUCAAUCUAAGAAGAUACCUCCUUUAUAUGAGACAUAAGAGAGCAGCCAAAAUGGCAGUAUCCAGACAAGGAAUAGAGCCUUUGAAAAGAUGAGUCUUCAGCAAGGUCUUCUAAUAAGUCGACUCAUCAUCAUGGCAACUGACUUUACUGGUGGGCUGCCUCUUUCUUUCUACCUUUCCCAGCAUCAGAAUCUUCUCCAGAGAGUAAGAUCUAUCCUGUUGGAGAAUAUGGCUGAGAAACACAUUGUUCGCUUAUCCGUUCACUCAUUCAUUCAUUCAUUCACUCA